RNAcentral lists this ribosomal RNA (282 nucleotides) under uncultured bacterium. RNAcentral's name for it is "partial 16S ribosomal RNA". It matches the Rfam family "Bacterial small subunit ribosomal RNA", at positions 28 to 334 of the family's 1533-position model. The record is from RNAcentral.
GACGAACGCUGGCGGCGAGUGCCUAACACAUGCAAGUCGAACGAAGGCUUCGGGCCUUAGUGGACGCACGGGUGCGUAACGCGUGGGAAUCUGCCCUUGGGCUCGGAAUAACAGUUAGAAAUGACUGCUAAUACCGGAUGAUGUCGUAAGACCAAAGAUUUAUCGCCCAAGGAUGAGCCCGCGUAGCAUUAGCUAGUUGGUGAGGUAACGGGCUACCAAGGCGACGAUGCGUAGCCGACCUGAGAGGGUGAUCGGCCACAUUGGGACUGAGACACGGCCCAG